RNAcentral lists this ribosomal RNA (515 nucleotides) under Meloidogyne sp. AC-2011. Its description in RNAcentral is "SSU rRNA". It matches the Rfam family "Eukaryotic small subunit ribosomal RNA", at positions 540 to 1063 of the family's 1831-position model. The record is from RNAcentral. Lineage: Eukaryota; Metazoa; Nematoda; Chromadorea; Rhabditida; Meloidogynidae.
AGUAUCAAGCAGAGGGCAAGUCUGGUGCCAGCAGCCGCGGUAAUUCCAGCUCUGCAAAUACAUAGAAUUAUUGCUGCGGUUAGAAAGCUCAUAGUUGGAUUCGUAUCGAUACCUUGGAACCCUUCGGGUGUCUCUAGGUGUUAUCGAUUUAUCGUAAUGUUCGGUUUUGAGUCCUUAACAGGAUUCUUAACAGGCAUUGCAAGUUUACUUUGAACAAAUCAGAGUGCUUCAAACAGGCGUUUUCGCUUGAAUGAUCGUGCAUGGAAUAAUAGAAAAUGAUUUCGGUUCAGUUUUAUUGGUUUUACGGACUGAGAUAAUGGUUAACAGAGACAAACGGGGGCAUUUGUAUGGUCCCGUGAGAGGUGAAAUUCUUGGACCGUGGCCAGACAAACUACAGCGAAAGCAUUUGCCAAGAAUGUUUUUAUUAAUCAAGAACGAAAGUCAGAGGUUCGAAGGCGAUCAGAUACCGCCCUAGUUCUGACCGUAAACGAUGCCAACUAGCGAUCCGCCGAUGG